GAUUAAGUUAUUAAGGGCGCACGGUGGAUGCCUUGGCACUAGAAGCCGAAGAAGGACGUUACUAACGACGAUAUGCUUUGGGGAGCUGUAAGUACGCUUUGAUCCAGAGAUUUCCGAAUGGGGAAACCCAGCAUGAGUUAUGUCAUGUUAUCCGCAUAUGAAUACAUAGUAUGUGAGAAGGCACACCCGGAGAACUGAAACAUCUUAGUACCCGGAGGAAGAGAAAGAAAACUCGAUUCCCUGAGUAGCGGCGAGCGAAACGGGAAGAGCCCAAACCAAUAGGCUUGCCUAUUGGGGUUGUAGGACACUCAAUACGGAGUUACAAAGGAAAUGAUUAGACGAAUCAACUGGAAAGAUGAAUCAAAGAAGGUAAAAAUCCUGUAGUCGAAAAUCAUUUCUCUCCUGAGUGGAUCCUGAGUACGGCGGAACACGUGAAAUUCCGUCGGAAUCUGGGAGGACCAUCUCCCAAGGCUAAAUACUCUCUAGUGACCGAUAGUGAACCAGUACCGUGAGGGAAAGGUGAAAAGCACCCCGGAAGGGGAGUGAAAUAGAACCUGAAACCGUGUGCUUACAAAUAGUCAGAGCCCGUUAAUGGGUGAUGGCGUGCCUUUUGUAGAAUGAACCGGCGAGUUACGAUUUGAUGCAAGGUUAAGCAGUAAAUGUGGAGCCGUAGCGAAAGCGAGUCUGAAUAGGGCGAUGAGUAUCUGGUCGUAGACCCGAAACCAAGUGAUCUACCCAUGUCCAGGUUGAAGUUCAGGUAACACUGAAUGGAGGACCGAACCGACUUACGUUGAAAAGUGAGCGGAUGAGGUGUGGGUAGCGGAGAAAUUCCAAUCGAACUUGGAGAUAGCUGGUUCUCUCCGAAAUAGCUUUAGGGCUAGCCUCAAGUGAUGAUUAUUGGAGGUAGAGCACUGUUUGGACGAGGGGCCCCUCUCGGGUUACCGAAUUCAGACAAACUCCGAAUGCCAAAUAAUUUAACUUGGGAGUCAGACUAUGGGUGAUAAGGUCCGUAGUCGAAAGGGAAACAGCCCAGACCACCAGCUAAGGUCCCAAAAUAUAUGUUAAGUGGAAAAGGAUGUGGCGUUGCCCAGACAACUAGGAUGUUGGCUUAGAAGCAGCCAUCAUUUAAAGAGUGCGUAAUAGCUCACUAGUCGAGUGACACUGCGCCGAAAAUGUACCGGGGCUAAACAUAUUACCGAAGCUGUGGAUUAUCCUAAGGAUAAUGGUAGGAGAGCGUUCUAAGGGCGUUGAAGCAUGAUCGCAAGGACAUGUGGAGCGCUUAGAAGUGAGAAUGCCGGUGUGAGUAGCGAAAGACGGGUGAGAAUCCCGUCCACCGAUUGACUAAGGUUUCCAGAGGAAGGCUCGUCCGCUCUGGGUUAGUCGGGUCCUAAGCUGAGGCCGACAGGCGUAGGCGAUGGAUAACAGGUUGUGAUUGUUUGAACGAUGGGGGGACGCAGUAGGAUAGGCGAAGCGUGCUGUUGGAGUGCACGUCCAAGCAAUAAGACUGAGUGUUAGGCAAAUCCGGCACUCGUAAGGUUGAGUUGUGAUGGGGAGUUGUCAUGUAUCCGACGAGUCGUAUCCUAAGGUGUGCGAGAGAACUCUGGUUAUGGUACUCGGCAAAAUGACCCCGUAACUUCGGGAGAAGGGGUGCUUUUUAACGGAAAGCCGCAGUGAAUAGGCCCAAGCGACUGUUUAGCAAAAACACAGCUCUCUGCUAAACCGUAAGGUGAUGUAUAGGGGCUGACGCCUGCCCGGUGCUGGAAGGUUAAGAGGAGUGGUUAGCUUCUGCGAAGCUACGAAUCGAAGCCCCAGUAAACGGCGGCCGUAACUAUAACGGUCCUAAGGUAGCGAAAUUCCUUGUCGGGUAAGUUCCGACCCGCACGAAAGGCGUAACGAUUUGGGCACUGUCUCAACGAGAGACUCGGUGAAAUCAUAGUACCUGUGAAGAUGCAGGUUACCCGCGACAGGACGGAAAGACCCCGUGGAGCUUUACUGUAGCCUGAUAUUGAAAUUUGGCACAGCUUGUACAGGAUAGGUAGGAGCCUUUGAAACGUGAGCGCUAGCUUACGUGGAGGCGCUGGUGGGAUACUACCCUGACUGUAUUGAAAUUCUAACCUACGGGUCUUAUCGACCCGGGAGACAGUGUCAGGUGGGCAGUUUGACUGGGGCGGUCGCCUCCUAAAGAGUAACGGAGGCGCUCAAAGGUUCCCUCAGAAUGGUUGGAAAUCAUUCGCAGAGUGUAAAGGCACAAGGGAGCUUGACUGCGAGACCUACAAGUCGAGCAGGGUCGAAAGACGGACUUAGUGAUCCGGUGGUUCCGCAUGGAAGGGCCAUCGCUCAACGGAUAAAAGCUACCCCGGGGAUAACAGGCUUAUCUCCCCCAAGAGUCCACAUCGACGGGGAGGUUUGGCACCUCGAUGUCGGCUCAUCGCAUCCUGGGGCUGUAGUCGGUCCCAAGGGUUGGGCUGUUCGCCCAUUAAAGCGGUACGCGAGCUGGGUUCAGAACGUCGUGAGACAGUUCGGUCCCUAUCCGUCGUGGGCGUAGGAAAUUUGAGAGGAGCUGUCCUUAGUACGAGAGGACCGGGAUGGACGCACCGCUGGUGUACCAGUUGUUCUGCCAAGGGCAUAGCUGGGUAGCUAUGUGCGGAAGGGAUAAGUGCUGAAAGCAUCUAAGCAUGAAGCCCCCCUCAAGAUGAGAUUUCCCAGCGUAAGCUAUAAGAUCCCUGAAAGAUGAUCAGGUUGAUAGGUUCGAGGUGGAAGCAUGGUGACAUGUGGAGCUGACGAAUACUAAUAGAUCGAGGACUUAACCAU
RNAcentral lists this ribosomal RNA (2811 nucleotides) under Staphylococcus aureus. Its description in RNAcentral is "23S ribosomal RNA". It matches the Rfam family "Bacterial large subunit ribosomal RNA". The record is from RNAcentral. Lineage: Bacteria; Bacillati; Bacillota; Bacilli; Caryophanales; Staphylococcaceae.